RNAcentral lists this long non-coding RNA (379 nucleotides) under Gossypium raimondii (Peruvian cotton). Its description in RNAcentral is "long non-coding RNA (GRAI_LNC002531)". The record is from RNAcentral. Lineage: Eukaryota; Viridiplantae; Streptophyta; Magnoliopsida; Malvales; Malvaceae.
UGCAUUCAAGAUAUCGUCUACAUCGGUCUCACUCCCAUGAUACUCUGUCUGGCCAUUGUCAUCUUUCGUAUUUCCAGUGAAAUAACGAAUUAACAAGACUGCAAGAACUAGAAAGGCAACCACAAGACCUACCUUUCCGAUGGAAGAGGUCAGUUUGUCAAGUCGAGCUUGUAGCGGCGUUCUCUCGUUUUUAUCACUGGUUAUUGAACUCAUCAUUUCACCCCAUGCAGUAUCCAUUCCGACUGAUGCUACAAGCAUUCGAGCGUAUCCAUCGACUACCUUAGAACCAGAAGAAAGGAAAGGGUUCCUGCAAGCAUCAACCUCCACAUGGUCGCUCUCGCCCGUCAUGCUUGAUUCAUCCACUUGCAGUGAAUGUCCA